ACCUGGCGUGGUUCUCGAGGGCCCUAGAGGCUCCUGCUACGGACUGGUCGGCUCUGGGGUUGUAGGCAGAAGGCUCUAAGCGGUCGGAAGGGUUUCCUGUGUGUCAGCAACUUCACUUUGCCGAGAUAGCUGGCGGAAGAGGGAAGGAGCGCUCGCGGGCCAAUCGCCUGCCAGCAGCCACCUUGGAGCGCACCCCUCUCCCUCGCCGCCGACUCCGGUAGCAGCGUGCCGGCAGAGGCUGAACACACUCGGCCUCGGCGGAGACCUGCUCCCCAGAAGACGCCUCCUGCUUCCCACUGCGCCCUGGAGGACGCGGGCUGGCUGCUGGGCGAGCUCGGCGGAGGCACGCCCCUCGCCUCCCCGCGGAGUGCGGACUCGCCCCGGUGCCCAAACUCCGCCCACCCUCUAGGGAGCUCCGCUCUCCCGCCUAACCCCGGCACUCCGGACAGAGCUGGGCCUGGGGAAGGGGUUCCUGAACUACGCGGACGCCGAACGGGACGCGCUGCAGAAGCGCACGAGUCUGCGGCCACGCGCGCUCCGAUGGCUGCCAGGAGCUGAGCUCAGGGUGGGCGGAGGAAGCGGUUAGACGCCCCGAAACUGAGCUGCACGUUUCUAAGAAAGUCAAAGCUCUGCAGUUAAGAAGAAAAAUACACCACUGAAACUUUCAGAUGCCUUGAGACAAGAUUCUUCUUCCAGAAUUCUAGUAUCAUUCCAAGGCUGGACUCUUCAGAAGUGAUUGCCUGCAAAUUUAGGAUGAGAACAAAAUCACAGUUCAAGGAACUACUGGAAGAGAAAGCCACCAGCUUCAUUUGAUCCAGAUUUAAUGCCCCAGGAAGAAGCAUCCACUUAACAGAGGCUUUGUCAUAUACCAUAUACCAUACCACUUUGGCUGGCAAGGAAGUGCUUAAAACGUAGUUGAUUCUCAACCAUUGAAUGAAUGAGUGAAUGAAUUUGUUGAGUUUCUAAUUAUAAAAUAUCUUUUGUUCGAGGCACUUCUAUAUGUCAAGACCAUAUGCUGAAUUUUAUUUUAUUUUCUGACACCUUCAAAGGGCUAAUGAGUCAUAGAUUAUUUUUUUCUGUCUGCAAUUCAGUGAGUCAUUAUAACUAACUCCAUUUUAUUUCAGCCCUUGUUUAUUCCCCUCCAAAAGGGGAAGCUGGAUGAUAUUAUGAGGGGGCAGGCUGGGCACAGUGGUUCACACCUGUAAUCCCAGCACUUUGGAAGGCCGAGGCUUGAGCCCAGGAGUUCAAGAGCACCUUAGGCAACAUGGGGAAACUCUGUCUCUGCAAAACAAUAAAAAAUAAAAAAAUUCGCCAGGCAUGGUGGCAUGCACCUGUAGUCCCAGCUACUCACGAGGCUGAGGUGGGAGGAUUGCUUAAGCCUGGGAGGUAGAGGUUGUUGUGAGCCAGGAUCACAUCACUGCACUCCAGCCUGGGCAGUAGUGAGACUCUGUCUCAAAAAAAAAAAAAAAAAAAAAGGAGGAUGCAGGAUGUAAUUUGUUAACUUACUAAGUCUGAUUUUCAUUUUUCUCUAAAGUCUUGUAAAAUUUUGUUUGAGUAAAAUACACAAGAGGCAGCAGGAGAACAUUAAGAAGAGAGUUCUAGUGUAUUCAGAGGGUUUGAAAUAAAGGUACACAUGAGAAGGAACAGAGAGA
This 1652-nucleotide long non-coding RNA is filed under the name Homo sapiens (human). RNAcentral describes it as "HSALNT0315433". Lineage: Eukaryota; Metazoa; Chordata; Mammalia; Primates; Hominidae. The record is from RNAcentral.